RNAcentral lists this ribosomal RNA (492 nucleotides) under uncultured bacterium. Its description in RNAcentral is "partial 16S ribosomal RNA". It matches the Rfam family "Bacterial small subunit ribosomal RNA", at positions 29 to 507 of the family's 1533-position model. The record is from RNAcentral.
AGUGAACGCUGGCGGUAGGCCUAACACAUGCGAGUCGAACGGCAGCACAGUAAGAGCUUGCUCUUACGGGUGGCGAGUGGCGGACGGGUGAGGAAUACAUCGGAAUCUACUUUUUCGUGGGGGAUAACGUAGGGAAACUUACGCUAAUACCGCAUACGACCUACGGGUGAAAGCAGGGGAUCUUAGGACCUUGCGCGAUUGAAUGAGCCGAUGUCGGAUUAGCUAGUUGGCGGGGUAAAGGCCCACCAAGGCGACGAUCCGUAGCUGGUCUGAGGGGAUGAUCAGCCACACUGGAACUGAGACACGGUCCAGACUCCUACGGGAGGCAGCAGUGGGGAAUAUUGGACAAUGGGCGCAAGCCUGAUCCAGCCAUACCGCGUGGGUGAAGAAGGCCUUCGGGUUGUAAAGCCCUUUUGUUGGGAAAGAAAAGCAGCAGGUUAAUACCCCGCUGUUCUGACGGUACCCAAAGAAUAAGCACCGGCUAACUUCGUG